UGAUUGUGCUGAGAGUUUUAAGGAGUUUAAUGUGAAUAAUAUUAGGGAUACUUCAGGGUGAUUCUUCAGAUGGGUGUUGUGUUGAUGUUUGGUGGUCAAAUGCCUGUCAUCAAGGAUUCAUCGUGUUGGUCUUCGUGAAAAAGUAUACUUUAAACCAGAAGAUGAGAAGAUGAUCUGAAGGCUGCAAUUGUAAGCGGUUCUAGUUUCCAGGGUUUUUUAACUUACAUCUGCCAGUCGUAAACAUUGUUGUGAAGGUGAAAUUGAAACUCCAAGAGCCUGUGAACUCUCACAAUCUGCUUCCUCGAAACGAUUACCAUUUCAAAAGAUUCUGCUUCAUUUAAUCUCAGCGGAUUCUUCGACACUUGACAACAAUGAACCAUCAGCCAAAAUUGUUGGGUUUAGGGGCUAUGAUCUUAAAUCCUGACAUAAAUCAACAACAUUCUAAAGGAUGGAUAACAGAGAAGGAAGCACAUGCUGGAAAAGGUGGGCGAGUGCAAUCAACAAAAAAAGAGCAAGUUCAAGACAUGGCUGUUUGAUAGCUAGAUAUGGGACUAAUCAUGCUUCCUUUGAGUUGAUAUGAUUUUUUUAUCAUCAAGUGUUGUGGUCAGAUUGAGGGGAGGCUGGUCCAAUGGAAUGGAAAUUGGACAAGUGAAACCUGUAGUAUGUGAGCCAUAGCCAUCGGAAACUUCUCCAAUGGAAUGGAAGCUGGACAAGCUGGGGAAAAAAGGCAAAACCUGGAACUAAAAGGCACGUGUUUCAUCAAUGUCAGUUGCUUGGGACGUCUGAGAAUGACUCAUCACUGGCUCACAAUCUGAUUCAUCAACGGCACUUGCUUAAAUAAAUUUUAGGCGAUUUUCAACCUGUUUGACAUGCUCAUUUUUUUGCUAAACUUUUAGACUUAACCCGCUUGAGAUAAACACAACCUGAAUGACCCAUUUGUAACCAAUUACAUAAACAAUUUUCUUCAUCUUUUGUCUAAUCAGGACUAGAUACCCAAAAAUCGCAACAAUUGAACAACAGAAACAGUCUAAUUGGUUAUUUUUUUGUCUGAUUAGGAUCUCAUUUUUUGCCAUGACAUUUUUAGACCCCUCAAGAAUAAAGUCUCAGUACAUGGCUCUUAAAUUGCAUACAGGGAGGUAUACUUAAAUCUGAUAACUCAAUUAGCUACUCUAUUGUACUUGAUUAUUUAGAUCUAAUUUGUGUAACGUAUGUAGGCCUUAUAUAAUUUAUAUAUGGCACCUUGAAAUCGAUUUACUUAAAAAGAGUCGCCUUAUAUAAUUUAUACUUUAAACUUUAAACGUUGUUUUAUGGCCUAAAUAUAGUGAAUAGUUAGAGUAACUUUCCAUUGAAGGGUCGGAGGUGCUCUGGCAGUGGAGGCGGUGCUGGCGCGGAGGUUUACGGGGUCCAGUACUCCGGAACGAUACCAUGUAUUUUUAUGGUGAAAUCCGGAUGAAUAAGACUUAUCACUCUUUACAAGAUGGAAUUGAGGGCAGAAUAUGAGGAAUGCCUACUUAAACGUCAUGAUCAGAAUAAUAUGACCACCAUCAAGCAACAACUACUUGCAUUACUAUAACACCAGAUGCCAUGUAUGAAUUCCAGGAAUGUAUUGAUUGGAUGAUACACAUUUAAAGCGUCUUACAACAUGAAGACACUAAUUGAUAAAGGUUGAUCAAAUCUAAGCUGAUUCAAUAUAUUUUUGUAUUCAAAAUAGUGAUAAAUUUGUCUUCGAUUUCACAUUAAAACUGGUAUGCUUAAUAUUUGUCUUCGAUUUCACAUUAAAACUGGUAUGCUUAAACCUUAUAGGGUUUGAAAACAGUGGUUCAAACCACUGUUGUAAUCAAAUUGUGCUUGGAGAAAACAGUGGUUGAAACUACCGUUGGGUAAUAUUUUAUUGGGUUUACUGGGUUAAAACAGUGUUUUGUGGAGAAAACGGUGGUUGAAACCACUGUUGGGUUAAAACUUUGGUUUGAAACCGAUGUUCGGCUAAAACAGUGUUUUGUGGAGAAAACAAUGGUUGAAACGACUGAACCACUGUUUUAACCUAACAGUGGUUUCAACCACUGUGUUCUGCACAAAACAUUGUUUUAACCCAAUAAAAAAUUACCCAACAGUGGUUUGAACCACUAUUUUCUCCAAGCCCAACAGUGGUUUUUUUUAGUUACAGAUUAGCCAAGAUUAGUUACCUCAGAUUUGGUCUUAAUCACAAAAUGAUGGCUGGAAAAAGUGAAGAGAAAAGGAUGCACAAGACCUUGGAAUCGCCAUUGAACAUGAGUGAUAUGAUGACUCUCUUGGAGCUUAAAAAUGGAGGUCCAAUUUUUCCAGCCUAAUCAAUCCGCUCGAAAAAGAGCUAUGUGAAUUGCAAGCCUAAUCCAACUACGGAACAAUACUAAACGACGGAGUUAUUCAAAAGAGUCAUUCUGUCAAAGAUUAGCUGACUUCCUUUUCAUUUUCUUUUAUUUUCUCUAACAUAAAAAGAAGCCAAGGCAUUAUUUAUAUUAUAUAUUAAUGAAAUUCGUUGAUUAUUGUGUUACAUAUGUAGGUAUGGGUCGGUGUAUGGGACGACGGAGAGUGGUGUUGGAUGGCAUCUAUGGGACUGAAUGAAGGAUGUCAUGGGUCAAAUGGGCUGAAGGGGUUGAAAAAUGGGGAUAUCCGUGGCAUGGGAUACACGAGGAUCAUGGCUGGGAUAAGGAGAAAGUCGGAUGAGCCAUUGAGGAAUUACAAGCAAGAAUUGAAUAAGAUGAAAUAAAAGUCAAAAGAACGUGGAUAAUCACAAUCACUAGAAUGCUAGAGUGAUGAUAUUUGGUGCAACUAAUCGUCCUUCAGAGCUUGAAAAAGCAAUAUUUAGUCGACUUCCACAACCAUUUGAGAUAGAUUACCUAACCGGAAAGAAAGCGUUAGCAUUUUGAAGGUGAUUAAAAGUCAAGAGAUUAGAGGUAGGCAUUGAUCUUAAAUGAACAGCUGCAUGUGUCUAAUUAGAUGCACAUACAUAAAAGCCUUUAGAUGCACAUACAUGUGUCUAAUUCGUUUUGCUUCUCUUGUGUCUAAACAUGUUUUGUGGGUUCAUUAUGCUUCUCUUGUGUCUAAACUUAAUCAGUCGACAAGUUUAAUGUAUUCUUAAGUAUAAUGCGAAUGUGAAUUCAUUAAAUAAUUUCACAUCAUAUUUU
This 3164-nucleotide long non-coding RNA is filed under the name Helianthus annuus (common sunflower). Lineage: Eukaryota; Viridiplantae; Streptophyta; Magnoliopsida; Asterales; Asteraceae. The record is from RNAcentral.